GUCGUCUGUUCCUAUCCUGGUGCUGAACAAGGUGCCAAGGGUGGGGCUGUUCGCCCAUUAAAAGGAAUCCUGAGAUGGGUUCACUACGUCGCGAGACAGUAGGGUUGCUUCUCCGUGGGAGUGUUCGAUGUCUGAAGGGAAGGAGCCUUUAGUACGAGAGGAACGGGGGUUCGUGACUUCUGGUUUACCGGUUGUCUGGCAAGGCACCGCCGGGUAGCCACGUCAUUCGCGGAUAAAAGCUGAAAGCAUCUAAGCUUGAAGCCGCCCCUGAAAAUAGACAUCGUUUGAGA
RNAcentral lists this ribosomal RNA (290 nucleotides) under Methanobacteriota archaeon. Its description in RNAcentral is "Euryarchaeota archaeon (hot springs metagenome) partial 23S ribosomal RNA". It matches the Rfam family "Archaeal large subunit ribosomal RNA", at positions 2600 to 2888 of the family's 2987-position model. The record is from RNAcentral. Lineage: Archaea; Methanobacteriati; Methanobacteriota.